RNAcentral lists this ribosomal RNA (468 nucleotides) under uncultured bacterium. RNAcentral's name for it is "partial 16S ribosomal RNA". It matches the Rfam family "Bacterial small subunit ribosomal RNA", at positions 28 to 507 of the family's 1533-position model. The record is from RNAcentral.
GACGAACGCUGGCGGCGUGCUUAACACAUGCAAGUCGAACGGAAAGGCCCUGCUUUUGUGGGGUGCUCGAGUGGCGAACGGGUGAGUAACACAUGAGUAACCUGCCCUUGACUUUCGGAUAACUUCAGGAAACUGGGGCUAAUACCGGAUAGGAGCUCCUGCUGCGUGGUGGGGGUUGGAAAGUUUCGGCGGUUGGGGAUGGACUCGCGGCUUAUGAGCUUGUUGGUGGGGUAGUGGUAUACCAAGGCUUUGACGGGUAGGCGGCCUGAGAGGGUGGCCGGCCACCUUGGGACUGCGAUACGGAGCAGACGCCUACGGGAGGCAGCAGUCGGGAACAUGGCACAAUGGGCGGACGCCAGAUGCAGCAACGCCGCGUGCGUGAUGACGGCCUUCGGGUUGUAAACCGCUUUCGACUGUGACGAAGCGUGAGUGACGGUAAUGGGUAAAGAAGCACCGGCUAACUACGUG